AUCCAGAGCUGUAGGUACAGGGAGACAAGACAGGAAAAUGAUGUGUUACCGGUCUGGAGUUCAAGAGAAAAAAAAAAAAUCAGACAAAGGAUGCAAUAUCAACAUUGGCCGUGGACUUUGUCUUAAGUGUUAGCAGGAUUGUCAUCUUCUUCCUGUUGCCAGGUGGACCAACGUGAUGGAUCGGCCGCAGAAAACCCACUCUGGUCCCCAAGUUUGUAAAGACCAUUUUUUUCCCCACUUCACAUCCAUCGAAAACAGAGAAACGUAAAGAAUGGGUUGUUUUCAUGGCUGAAGCAUGUUAUCAGUAUUCUGCCUCGGAUUUCUGCUUGUUUUUUUGGGCUCAUUUUUGUACAUGUAACACUUUUCUGCUGAAUGGAUGCAACUGUAUUUGAGACAUUGCACAGUAUUUUCACUGUUGAAACAAUAACGCUGCCACAUCUGUCUUAAAGUACAAGACAAAUUGAACAUACCAUAUCCUUUC
Gasterosteus aculeatus aculeatus (three-spined stickleback) is the source of this 481-nucleotide long non-coding RNA. The record is from Ensembl. NCBI's taxonomy places the organism in Eukaryota, Metazoa, Chordata, Actinopteri, Perciformes, Gasterosteidae.